GUUUCUAUAGUUGAAUAACAACGAUGAUUUUUCAUGUCAUU
RNAcentral lists this transfer RNA (41 nucleotides) under Microtus obscurus (Altai voie). RNAcentral describes it as "partial tRNA-Glu". Lineage: Eukaryota; Metazoa; Chordata; Mammalia; Rodentia; Cricetidae. The record is from RNAcentral.